AGGAUUUUCUGUUCUCUUCUUCUCUUCAUCUUGGCUACGGAAUUACUAUCUUUAGACAUUCGAUACGUACUGAAAAGCUCAGUCACGGUGCCUGCAGGCUGGUCGCGAAAAUCAUCUGUAUCCACACAUCGAGUUAUUAGGGUAUGCAUUGGACUCAAGCAACAUGGAUGGGAGACAUUCGAACAACAUCUUAUGGAGAGUAUGUAUUGUGUUAUUGUCUGUUGUCUAUCCCAGAUAUGUUAAUUAAUAUAAAUGUAGUCUCUGAUCCAUCUCACCCACGAUAUGGGAAGCACCUCUCUUCAAAUGAAGUGAACCAGUUGGUUAAAGCUGCUCCGGAAUCCUUAAACGCGGUAACUACGUGGCUUCAAGAAGCUAGUUCCUUUCCACCAAAUUUGACAUUAUCCACUUCUGGAGACUUGGUAUCAUUUAACGCGCCGAUUGAGGUAAUUGAACGAUUGUUUAUGGCAAAGUAUGCGGAAUAUCAACAUGAGGAUGGAUCAACCAUCAUACGAACUUUGUCAUGGUCCGUGCCUGCCGAUCUAGUCAAUCACAUUGAUGUCGUCGAGCCCACCAAUUCGUUUUUCAAGCCACAUGGACAAUCUAGAUAUGGAGGUCCACCCCCACCAGAUUGGGAAAACGAGCAUCGGAUCCCAACUUACGAGGAACUAGUAGAAGAGGAUGUGUUAGAGCGAGGUCAUCUCGACAUCCCUCUAGCCCAUGAGCUAUCCCGGGCCCCCACAGUCAAAGAA
This 749-nucleotide small RNA is filed under the name Histoplasma capsulatum. RNAcentral describes it as "hypothetical RNA". Lineage: Eukaryota; Fungi; Ascomycota; Eurotiomycetes; Onygenales; Ajellomycetaceae. RNAcentral also lists the same sequence under 1 other name. The record is from RNAcentral.